Molecule: unclassified non-coding RNA, 3820 nt
Filed under: Neodiprion pinetum (white pine sawfly)
Lineage: Eukaryota; Metazoa; Arthropoda; Insecta; Hymenoptera; Diprionidae
Description: uncharacterized LOC124223816, transcript variant X3
Source: RNAcentral
CCGUCAAGGGAGAAAUACCGAAAACUCGACAAAGUCAUUUGUAAUCUCGCGUGUGUGCGCGCGAGUGUAUUUAUUUUUAACAAUUGUGGCCUGGGUUGUGGCGAACAACGCAGGCAUCAUCUGAUAAUCCGUCGUUUCGAGAGCAAAGACGAAAUAAGGCGACGCGAGUAUGUUCAAAAGCGGCUAAAGAACCGGAACUGCCGUUCCUCGACGGUGGCGAGUGUUCGAUAACAAUAAUUUUCAUUCCUCAAUCGUAUAAGCGAGAUUAUCAACCGCGCGAAUAAAUACGAGUCGCAAAUCGGCCGUUCGGCGGACAGGAGGGAGGAAGAUUCGGUGAAGCCGGAGAAUUGAUACGUAGAUGAGAAAUCAGCGCUCGGUGAGCUGAACAAGGAAAAGUGUGCGUGUGGGAAAGGUUCGAAGAGCGGUCAAGACUUUGCGCUGAUAUCGGCGAAUAUCAGCGGUGCGAGUAUCUCGGCUUCACCUCGUAUGGCUCAGGGUAAAAUAUGGCCACGGUAUACGAGAGCCCGUUCCUUUCGAACAGGCUUCGCCAGAUCGAGGAGAGAUACGAGGAGCCGACUACGUUCGGCCGUUGCGACUGCACUAGCUACAGCUACCUCGCCCUCAGCGUCGUCCUCUUCGCCGUCGGCACGGCGAUAACGAUUCUAGCCCUCGGCGAUGUCGCCAACGGCUACAUAUUCUCACACCUAGGACACAUGUGGCUCGUAGGACCGAUAUUCAUAUGCUCCGGACUGAUGGUCGCUGUUAAGUGCAUGCUCUACCUCAGGCGAAAAUCCGUCAUACAGAUGAUAUACCAUCAGCGACAACUAUUCCGACAUUUACAGGAACUGGCCGGCGCUCAGGCGGUGAAUGGGUCCGGCACAGGAACCCCUGGCCCGCCCCCGUACGAGGUCAUCACCCAGGGUCAAGGACCAAGUGAGCUGCCGCCUCCUUCGUACGCCGAAGCUGUCGCUCUUCUUCAGCAAGCAGGUGUUCAAGAUGACAAGCUCCCUGGAGUUGCGACAUCCUGUACAUCGGUAGCAGUGGGCGAGGCGGGAAGGACCAAGCCUUGAAUGACCCACGUCGGAAUUCACUCUUUUGUGGAUACCGGAUUGCAUUGUGUGUCACUGCUUCCUGCUUCGAUUGGAUAGUCAGUACAUUGGGGAAAAAAAAGAAGAACGACAGCAACUUUUGUAUUGUUACACAGCUUGGAACUGAAUAGAGAGACUGCCGUUGUCACUGCAGCGGACAAUUUGUCGACCUUCACAUAUUGUCGGCUGGCUGGGUACUGGUGCUGAGGAAACUUAGAAGCUUGAAGUAUCGUUGGAGUAGUAAUAAUAAUAAUAACAACAAUAAUAACAAUAAUAAUAACAUCAACAACAACAACAACAGCAACAACCAACAAUUAUAAGAACAAGAGGAAGUAUAUUGUCGAGUGUGCGUCAGCCACCUCAGGAUACUCUUCUUGUGGAUAUAAUGAUGACGAUAAUAAUAAAAAUAGUAAUAAGUAUUAUAACUAUGGACAAUCGAGUUAGUUAGUUAGUUAUUACGAUCAAAACUGUUGCCUUCUACGAGAUAGGUGAACCAAUUAAUUAGGUAUGCAUGUAUACCAAAUUACCCGUACUUUAGUUACAAUCCCACGUCUGAUGCGUGCGUAUAGUCAAUGUACGUGAUUCGUACGGAAGUGUAAUGUCUCUACAAUUUCCAAUUUAUUUACGCUACUUACAUCACUAGAAAUAGGGCACGUAAAAUAUUAUUUUUACCUUCAAGUUAUCAUACGAUGUUUAACCUGAUCGGCAUAUGUACUGCUGCUGUACGUAUUUGCUUAAAGCGUCGUUUACUUAACGUGUAUUACUUUCAGGCGUCCGAAGGCAGCUUUUGCUUUUUUUAUUUAUUUUUUUUAAAUUGUUUUAUUUUUAUUUUUUUUACUCUUACAUGCGAAUGCAAGCCUUGACGAUGCCCAAGUCUUCCAAACCUUUCAGACUUAAUUUUAAUUGAAAGGGGUUGAAGAGAAUAUCCAAUGACUGUUAACAGGGAGAGAAAAAGACGUGUAACAAGGGUAAAAAAUUAAGCAGGCGGCGGAUUCUCAAUUUCACCCAAACCAGUUGCUUUUCACUAGCUGUCAUUUAAACGGCGGGUAAACUUUAAUAACCUUGAUGUCUGAUUCAAUUAUUCUUGCCAAAUCAAUUGCUUAUUGUUUCCCAUUGUAAGGUAAUCCAUCAUUUUACACUUCUCGAUGGAUUAAAUUUUAUCAGAAAAAAAAUGUUACUUGAAAGUUAAUGAAACCGAUAUAGUUUUUCUUUAAACUGCAAAGUCUCUUGCGCAAAACGUGUUGUUUUCUUUUUUUUCGUCUAGUUUUAUACAAACGCAUCAACUUCUAACAAUUGAUCAGCUCGUGAUUCUAAUGAUUAUAAGUACUAUGAUACGAAUAUAAUAACAAUGAUCAAUAGUUACUUGACGUAUUUAAAAUACUUGCAUACAUACGCUAUAUUCACACAUGUAUAUAAUAGUAACAGUAACAUGCGCAUAAGUGAAUAGCAAAGAACUAUACAUAUGGUGGCCAGAUGCUAGGCAAAAUAGUUUUAAAAGUACAUAACUUUAACGAGUAAACGUAUAGUUUCGUAUAGUAUAUAGGUAGUUAGGCAAUAUACAAUGUAUGUUAUGAAAAAAUUAUUAUAAUGUAGUGAAGAAAUCACGAUUGAAUAUUUUUUUAUAUAUAAUAAAAAAAAAAAAAAAAGGAGGGAAUGAAAAGAGAAACGACACUCACAGUAAGACUGCUGUUUUGCCUUAGAAGAAAAAAGAAGAAAAAAAAAAAAAAGAAUUAAAUAAUACGAAGCAACAAAGAACAGAAGGAUAUGUUACUCGCUUAUUUUGUCGACGCUGUGAAGUAUUUUCUUCCCUUUUCAUAUUGUUAUUAAUUUAAUUUCUUUCCAAUCAAAGUUCUCCUCUUUCUCACGUCAUUUCAGCUCGCAAAUUGUGAGGGAUAAAGAAAAACGCACAGCGUUCAUACAAUAGAAAUAGAUGUUUGAAAGAUGAUAUUUGAACUCGAACAGUAUUAACAAGAAUAUGAUAUGUCAUAGUACUUAUUGUUAGAAAAUUUUUGAUUCAAAUAAUGGGUGAAGGUAGUUAACAAGGAUGACUUAAAAUCACGUAAUGUUUCAUUUGAUAUUAAACGAAAUUUUCCACUCUCGCAAGUUUUGCGAGUCAAAACAUAGUUGAAAUAAUACUAUUGAAAAGAUAAAUCUCUUGGCCAUUCCGAACUGAAAAUAAAAAUUUGAGGAGGCAAUGAAUAAAUGAAUAAUUCUCAAAUACUUGGAAAACAUUAUAUCGAAUGUGUACGCAAUUUAUACGUGUACCAAUAACAUCAGAGUUUGCCUUGAGACCAGUUCUACGCAUAUUUAUGUUGAUAGUAAACAGUGUUAUUUCAACUUACCGCCCUAAAGACGUUUAUGAAUUAAUAAAUUUUCGCGACUGUUUAUCAAUGAUAAAUUAUUUUAAAUCGCGCAACGCUUUUUCACCUCUAAAAUAUUAUUUUAUUCCUUGAGCUUGGAUUGUUGAAUAAAUCAGACGAAAAUUUGUCAUGUGCACAAGAUUCAGAAAGUUUAUUUCAUUUAUUUAUUUUUCUUUUUUUGUUUUUUCCGUUAUAGGACUUUGUUUUUGAUUAAAUAUCAAACUUGUUUAGCUUAUAGUAUACAAAAUAAAAGGAAUAGAAAAUUUAAAAAAAAAUGAGAAUAACCGUUGCGCUAUGAUAUGCAGUUACGCAUAUUUAUUGUGAAACAUAAAGAUUGUACAGUAAAAUAAAUUAGAAAACAACGAAAAUUGA